This 498-nucleotide ribosomal RNA is filed under the name uncultured bacterium. Its description in RNAcentral is "partial 16S ribosomal RNA". It matches the Rfam family "Bacterial small subunit ribosomal RNA", at positions 30 to 523 of the family's 1533-position model. The record is from RNAcentral.
AUUGAACGCUGGCGGCAUGCCUUACACAUGCAAGUCGAACGGCAGCACGGGGCAACCUGGUGGCGAGUGGCGAACGGGUGAGUAAUGCAUCGGAACGCACCUUUCAGUGGGGGAUAACGUAGCGAAAGUUACGCUAAUACCGCAUAUUCUGUGAGCAGGAAAGCAGGGGAUCGCAAGACCUUGCGCUGAUUGAGCGGCCGAUGUCAGAUUAGCUAGUUGGUGAGGUAAAGGCUCACCAAGGCGACGAUCUGUAGCGGGUCUGAGAGGAUGAUCCGCCACACUGGAACUGCGACACGGUCCAGACUCCUACGGGAGGCAGCAGUGGGGAAUUUUGGACAAUGGGGGCAACCCUGAUCCAGCCAUGCCGCGUGAGUGAAGAAGGCCUUCGGGUUGUAAAGCUCUUUCGGCCGGGAAGAAAUCGCACGGGCUAAUACCCUGUGUGGAUGACGGUACCGGAAUAAGAAGCACCGGCUAACUACGUGCCAGCAGCCGCGGUAA